RNAcentral lists this transfer RNA (65 nucleotides) under Proechimys cuvieri (Cuvier's spiny rat). Its description in RNAcentral is "tRNA-Lys". It matches the Rfam family "tRNA". From Rfam's summary of the family: Transfer RNA (tRNA) molecules are approximately 80 nucleotides in length. Lineage: Eukaryota; Metazoa; Chordata; Mammalia; Rodentia; Echimyidae. The record is from RNAcentral.
CACUAUGAAGCUAAAUAGCAUUAACCUUUUAAGUUAAAGAUUGAGAAUUUAACUCUCCAUAGUGA